AGGGAAACUUGGAUUAAUGCCCCGUAGUACCUUUAUAUAGCAUUAUAUUUUGGUUAAAGGCUUCGGCCGGUAGAAGAUGGCCAUGCGUCCCAUUAGUUAGUUGGCGGGGUAACGGCCCACCAAGACGGCGAUGGGUAGGGGCCCUGAGAGGGGGAUCCCCCACACUGGUACUGAGACACGGACCAGACUCCUACGGGAGGCAGCAGUGAGGAAUAUUGGACAAUGGAGGAGACUCUGAUCCAGCCAUGCCGCGUGCAGGAAGAAUGCCCUAUGGGUAGUAAACUGCUUUUAUACGGGAAGAAAAAGGGCUACGUGUAGCCUGUUGACGGUACCGUAAGAAUAAGGACCGGCUAACUCCGUGCCAGCAGCCGCGGUAAUACGGAGGGUCCGAGCGUUAUCCGGAAUUAUUGGGUUUAAAGGGUCCGUAGGCGGGCGUUUAAGUCAGUGGUGAAAGUCUGCAGCUCAACUGUAGAACUGCCUUUGAUACUGAACGUCUUGAGUUAUGGUGAAGUUGCCGGAAUAUGUAGUGUAGCGGUGAAAAUGCAUAGAUAUUACAUAGAACACCGAUUGCGAAGGCAGGUGACUAACCAUAUACUGACGCUGAUGGACGAAAGCGUGGGGA
This 622-nucleotide ribosomal RNA is filed under the name uncultured Flavobacteriales bacterium. RNAcentral describes it as "bacterial SSU rRNA". It matches the Rfam family "Bacterial small subunit ribosomal RNA", at positions 150 to 767 of the family's 1533-position model. The record is from RNAcentral. Lineage: Bacteria; Pseudomonadati; Bacteroidota; Flavobacteriia; Flavobacteriales.